RNAcentral lists this unclassified non-coding RNA (4625 nucleotides) under Neodiprion pinetum (white pine sawfly). Its description in RNAcentral is "nGFI-A-binding protein homolog, transcript variant X1". The record is from RNAcentral. Lineage: Eukaryota; Metazoa; Arthropoda; Insecta; Hymenoptera; Diprionidae.
UCGACGCAGCCUUGCCGAGAGGCCAAACAAUGUGCAGCAUGAAGUCGAGCUGGUAGCGUCGCCGCCGUUUCUACCGUAUCUCACUUUUCUGUACAUACAUACACAGAUGUAUAGAUAAACAACACAUUAGAUGCAAAAGUUUAAUAAUACACGGAAAAAAAACUCGAUUAUUUGAAACUAUUGUUAAUAUUGUCAUCAUUGUAAUCGCAGUGCGAAAAUCGGUUAUUGAUUUCUAUCUUUUUUUUUACUUUUUUUUUUUUUUUGAACACUUCCGGUAGAACAACGUUUUACAAAGUGCCGCAGCCUCCGCGUUGUUAUAUUCACUUUAUAUAUCUACCUGGUUCGUGAUUGCCGCGCGCGUUCACGUGUUCCUGCUGCAUUUGUUGUCGUUGUUGUUACUGAAGCGAACCGUUGAUAAAGUUGCGUGUAUUGACUUGCUAGUAAAUCGAUUCGCGUGCCUUAACGUUGCUUUGCGAUAUCAGCAACAAGAACAACAAACAAAACGGACUAUAUUCCUUCCUGAGUGUGACUGCAGUUGUUUUUGUCGCGUUACCGUUUUGAGUGUAGUAUAGAAUAAUAUUAACUCCCGUAGUAUUGUCGAUAAUUUUUGCACCCUUUUGCUUUCAUUCGACUGUUUUAUUUUUAUUUCAUAUUUUUUUACGUACCGUUUGCCAGUAUAUUUGUUGUUCGGUUGUGGUGUCGGUUGUACUAGAAAAAAUAAGAUAAGAAGGGUCGUGCCUUGGCUAGAUAAAUCGCUGUAGUAGAUAUCUACCGCCAUCCCUUGCACACAUAUAGAGACAAGUUUGAAGGUGCCGAGUGAGCGCGUGCCGGUUUCUACGUACAGCGAUAUCAGCCUUGUUAAGGGAAGAUUGACGGUAUUAAGAAUUAUCCAGGCAUCGAUCCUGAGUAGUGACGGCGCAAGGGUUCCGUCGAUUCGAAUUGCAUGGAUUUUGUAUUGUAAUCGCGCCGCGCCGAGACGCCAUGGACGUCCAUGCCGGAGGGUGCAGCAGCUCGUCGACGACCGGCGAAGAGACACUCCGCGGCGUCGCGACGCCUUCCCCGGCACCGGCGUGCACCGCGACGCCGACCCCCGCGUCCGUCGCCGCGACGAGCGCGUCGGUAUCAAUCAACAAUGCGGUGUCCAGCCCGUCGGUGCAAUCCCAGCUGCCCCAGUCCAGCACCCACCAGUCACCAUCGGGGCCGAGGAUACUGAGCAGAAAUGUAAAUGGCACUCUCGUGCAGACUUCCGUGCCGCAGAACGAGGCCGAACUUCAGUUGUACCGCGUCAUGCAGCGUGCUUCUCUCCUUGGAUACUACGACACACUGUUAGAGAUGGGAGGUGAUGACGUCCAGCAAUUGUGCGAUGCUGGAGAAGAAGAAUUUCUAGAAAUUAUGGCACUUGUGGGGAUGGCCAGCAAGCCACUUCACGUCAGAAGACUGCAGAAGGCUCUCCAAGAGUGGCUGACCAAUCCCUCAAUGUUUCAAACGCCGGUAAUACCCUCGAAUCCUAACAGCAAAUCUAAUAUACCGAUGACUUUUCCGUGCAUAAGUCCGAGAGCGCAGUUCCCUGCCCAUAGUCAAACGCAAUCCUCGUACAACGGGCCGCUUUUACCACUCACACCUUUGCCGUGUCGAAGCUCCAGUCCGGUUGUUCAACCUCCCAGUGCCAACACGUCGACGGCUUCGACGACCUUUCGACACACACCGAGCCCAAGUGCUUCCGUAUCAUAUCCGAGUGCCCAAAGUCCUGGGGUCUUACAGGUAGGAACUUGCGAGUCCUCUUGUGGAAGCGGCACGACGUCGAGUCCUGGGGGUGCGAGUGGUGCUCCCGGUAGUCCAACUCAGCCCGUUCCCGCGCUUCUCCAAUCCCAGGUUCAACGAUUGUCGGAUGCAGCUGAACGACUGGCAGUUAGUUUGCCACCGCUCGACCCGAAGCCACACAACAUCAAGAAGAAGAUCUGUAAAAACCUCGAGAUGGUAAUGGCGAUGUCGGAAAAUGACCCUCGUCGUAUGGAUGAAAUCCGAAAAUACGCGGCGAUAUACGGAAGGUUCGAUUGCAAGCGUAAACCGGAGAAACCUUUGACGCUACACGAAGUUUCGGUCAACGAGGCAGCAGCCCAGAUCUGUAAAUUUGUACCUGCGCUUCUCACAAGAAGAGACGAACUUUUUCCACUUGCCCGUCAAGUCGUUAGGGAUUCUGGAUACCAUUACUCAAAGAGUCAAUACAUCUCGAUGAUGAGACCGCGAGAGAACGGCGAGGACGCGGGUGACGGUGACAGGGUGAAACGGUAUCGUCUCGAUCUAGAGGGUGAGAGUGAGGAUUCCACGCAGGUUUACACGCUAAGGGUAGACGGAAAAAAUUCAACCACGUCCUGCAUUUUAACGCCGCCGAAGGCGGAACAUCAACAGGAAAGCAGCUGUAACAAGUACGGAAAUGGGAUUUACGGAUUCCGUGAUAAUUUACGUCAGUCUUGGCUCGUUGACGAGUGAAAAACCUGGAAUAGCAAGACACGUGGACGCAACUGGGAUGCGGCAAUGCUUUCCCGCAGAAUGAUAGUAAAAGUAAUGAUUGCGAGGAACGUCCGUCUCGGGCAUAAGGAAUCUUAUUAAAGGAUUAACCGUUUUCUGGGCGAAUCGUACACAGAAUACAUGCUGAUCAUGUCUUAACGCAGCCUCAAGAUACGCACAAGGAUCGUCGAAAACAGAAUUCAGUCGUGCCUGAUACCUCUCAGGUGAAGCCAGAAUUUCAAAUUCUACGUAGAGUCCAGAAUUCUACCUGAGAAUGUGUCAGCGAUUGGAUUGCCCCGCAAACCGCCUUUGCAAGUCAUGCAAUCCCAAUUCUUAGCAACUCAUGGAUCGGCGAGGCUUCGGGUUUUUGGAUAGUGAUACUCAAACAACAGUGGUUAUAAUGUCACAAUUUGAUUGCCACAGAUAAUUGUGUUUACCACUUGAAGAAGAACUACCGGGCCUAGACGUUCUGCAUCAUGUACCUCUUCGAACAAGUAAUUACGGACAAUUUAAUGUAGUUUUACACACGAAUGAUUUUAUCUCUCUAUUUACGCUAUGUAAAACGAAUAACCAACGAUGUCACCGUCUUCGGUAUUUCAAUUGCAGAUCUUUUUCCCUCAAUUUCAAAUCCAACUGCCCGGCAACGUUUCACAAUGGUCAUUCGACAAAACAAACCAUUCGAAUAUGACUACGGUAGCAAAAAUUCGAGGAAAGUUUUACGUGAAUUGAGAACUGACUUUUCAUCUAUAGUCUGUAGUUAUUCAACGUAAGCGAAGAGGUUCAUCUAUUGAUUCGACAUCACGCUUUACAAUUAACCGAUAUUGACUUUAUUUUUAUAUCUGACGAUAGUACUCAUGUUUUCAUGUGACAUGAAAAUACUCGAUUUUGAAUUAUAAAUAUUUAAAAUGUGCAUCAUUUUGUCGAUCAUAUUAAAUCCGUUUUGUUACUAUAAUCUUGUUAUUGUUACCAUUGCUGUAACUGUUGAAAUAAUAUAUCAGUUGCAUAAACAACAAUAACUUGUUUGUUAUUUGGCGAACCUUCAGGUAUUAUAUCAUGGACCGUUCGGCUUGCAGCAGACAAUAACAUACGUGUAGAUAUGUACAAUCGAGGACUCGUAUAUAUCAGGAGCCUUUUUCGAGGUAAUUUUUUGUUGGUCACUUUUUCGUAUUCCUCUUUUUGUCCGUACUUUCUGCACGACAAACGGAAACUUUUUUACGAUACACGAACGAUUCGGUUUUUGUCCUGUUUGUCUCAAUCUAUCUUCCAUGACAAGACUGGAGAUAUAGCGCGAGGAUACUGAUCUUUUUUUUUCAUCGCAAUAUCUUUCCAUCUGCAUUGCAAUCGACUAGGACUAGAACCAAUAGUGGGUCACAUUACUUAGGCUUGUUUUCUUUGAUACCCGUUGACGCAACAAUUGUUUCACCUAUUUUUAUUUUACUUUUCCCUUUCUCUACAGUUUAUCCGACUCCAAUUCUCUCCCGAAUUAUUGGAUUCGAGGUACCAAACUACGGGGCGUAACUCGUCUUCAAAAAUAUAGUGGCGUCAACAAUCUUUCCACGGGAACCAGUCAAAAUAUGUAUCGGCAUCGUGACCGUAGACUCAGGCUUUCUGAAACUCGUUUAGUUUACAACUAAUCGGCGACCGGUACUUACAGUCUUUACAUCUAUUCGCACACCGAAUAGGUGGCCAUUUUUUUGCAGGAAAAGAAAUUCUGCGACUAUUAUGCAGAGGAAGUUUUGGUAGGAAUUAAAUUUUAGUUUUAACUAGCUUUAAAACCCUCGCUCGCUAAAGUUCGCUCGGGGUCGGAUACCUAUAGUGUAGCUGGAUUUAGCGCUCAUGGGCUCGCUUACUCGUUGUCAGUGUUUCAGAUGAUACGAGAUUUACCAGAUACCUCACACCCUCGCUGCUUGAGGAUUGUUCAAUGGGUAAUAAGUGUUAAUCCGCUAGUCCGUGAAGUCGAGUUUCGUUAUUUAGCGGACCUCGAGUGCAGUAACUACGGAGCGCUAGUCCUGGAGGUCGAAAUCAACAAGGUAAAAGACCUGGACAGCCAAAACUACGGAGCGCUUGUCCUAGAGGUCGAGUUUCACCAGGUAGCGGACCUGGAGCGCAGAAACCAC